CCCACCUGACCCCAUGCCGAACUCAGCAGUGAAACGCCGUAGCGCCGAUGGUAGUGUGGGGUCUCCCCAUGUGAGAGUAGGACACUGCCAGAC
Molecule: ribosomal RNA, 93 nt
Filed under: Xenorhabdus mauleonii
Lineage: Bacteria; Pseudomonadati; Pseudomonadota; Gammaproteobacteria; Enterobacterales; Morganellaceae
Source: RNAcentral